Molecule: ribosomal RNA, 535 nt
Filed under: Elusimicrobiales bacterium
Lineage: Bacteria; Pseudomonadati; Elusimicrobiota; Elusimicrobia; Elusimicrobiales
Description: bacterial SSU rRNA
Rfam family: Bacterial small subunit ribosomal RNA
Source: RNAcentral
CGUUAUUCGGAAUCAUUGGGCGUAAAGGGUGCGUAGACGGUAUGUUAAGUCCGCUGUUAAAUUUUCCGGCCUAACCGGAAAUCUGCAGUAGAAACUAGCGUACUAGAGGUUGGAAGAGAGAAGUGGAAUUCUCGGAGUAGCGGUAAAAUGCGUAGAUCUCGAGAGGAACACCAAUGGCGAAGGCAGCUUCUUGGUCCAUACCUGACGUUGAUGCACGAAAGCGUGGGGAGCAAACAGGAUUAGAUACNNNNNNNNNNAUACCCUGGUAGUCCACGCUGUAAACGAUAAUCACUAGAUGUUGGUUUUGUUUGACAAGAUCAGUAUCGUAGCUAACGCGUUAAGUGAUUCGCCUGGGGACUACGGUCGCAAGAUUAAAACUCAAAGGAAUUGACGGGGGUCCGCACAAGCGGUGGAACAUGUGGUUUAAUUCGACACUACGCGAGGAACCUUACCUAGGCUUGACAUGUAUUUGACCGUCGUGGAAACACGAUUUUUUAGGCUUCGGUCUAGACAGAUACACAGGUGCUGCAUGGCU